AGUUUGACUCCGUGGCUCAGGACGAACGCUGGCGGCGUGCUUAACACAUGCAAGUCGAACGGUAAGGCCCUUCGGGGUACACGAGUGGCGAACGGGUGAGUAACACGUGGGUGAUCUGCCCUGCACUUCGGGAUAAGCCUGGGAAACUGGGUCUAAUACCGGAUAGGACCAUGGACUUCACGGUUUGUGGUGGAAAGCUUUUGCGGUGUGGGAUGGGCCCGCGGCCUAUCAGCUUGUUGGUGGGGUAAUGGCCUACCAAGGCGACGACGGGUAGCCGGCCUGAGAGGGUGUCCGGCCACACUGGGACUGAGAUACGGCCCAGACUCCUACGGGAGGCAGCAGUGGGGAAUAUUGCACAAUGGGCGCAAGCCUGGUGCAGCGACGCCGCGUGAGGGAUGACGGCCUUCGGGUUGUAAACCUCUUUCAAUAGGGACGAAGCGCAAGUGACGGUACCUAUAGAAGAAGCACCGGCCAACUACGUG
RNAcentral lists this ribosomal RNA (482 nucleotides) under uncultured bacterium. Its description in RNAcentral is "bacterial SSU rRNA". It matches the Rfam family "Bacterial small subunit ribosomal RNA", at positions 10 to 507 of the family's 1533-position model. The record is from RNAcentral.